Molecule: ribosomal RNA, 301 nt
Filed under: uncultured bacterium
Lineage: Bacteria
Description: partial 16S ribosomal RNA
Rfam family: Bacterial small subunit ribosomal RNA
Source: RNAcentral
CAGCAGCCACGGUAAUACGUAGGGUGCGAGCGUUAAUCGGAAUUACUGGGCGUAAAGCGUGCGCAGGCGGUUAUAUAAGACAGAUGUGAAAUCCCCGGGCUCAACCUGGGACCUGCAUUUGUGACUGUAUAGCUAGAGUACGGUAGAGGGGGAUGGAAUUCCGCGUGUAGCAGUGAAAUGCGUAGAUAUGCGGAGGAACACCGAUAGCGAAGGCAAUCCCCUGGACCUGUACUGACGUUCAUGCACGAAAGCGUGGGGAGCAAACAGGAUUAGAUACCCCCGUAGUCCCUGUCUCUUAUAA